GGGGUCACUUUGGAGGCAUGAAUUGAGCCAGAUUAUUAGUAAAAUGCCUUCCAACUGUGAGCUUCUGUGCUGUGUAGGCGAUAGGAGGGCCUGGAUCUUGUGUGGGGAUCUCUCUACUCAUGCAGGCCUUAAGAAGGUGAGGAAACAGAGACCUGGAGAGAAUAAAUGGCUUGUUGAGCCCAGGAUGGCCCUGGGAUUGGCUUUGGGGUUCUGCCUUCCUCCUCCUGACUCCACCAUGGAUCCCACACUCUGGGCCGGUGAAUGGUGGCUAACCUACAAGAUGUUUAAAUGCGGAGUGGACUUCCUUAUUCCCUCAGCAGAUUGACCCAAAAGGGGAAAAAAGAGAAAAACAAAAUCCAUCCAAAGCCCAGUGACCAUCCCUCAGUGUCUGGGCUGGGCAGCUCCCAAAAGAAAACCUGGCCAAGGGAUAUGCACAGAAUUACUUUUUCUCUUUUUGCUUCCUGGCAGCUACAAAUUAGGAAGAAGGAAAGCAGGAAGGAGACAAAAUGUUUGUUAAUUGAAAAUUUGAAAAAUAAAAUUUACCAAAGCCAAACUUUAUUCUAUGGCUUCUUAAUCUUUUCUAUUGUGGAUUCCUAGGGCAGUCUGGUGAAUCCUAUGGACUCUUUCUCAGAAUCAUAUUCUAAAUGUACACAAUAAAAUACAGAGAAUUACAAAAAUUAUUGAAAUG
This 688-nucleotide long non-coding RNA is filed under the name Monodelphis domestica (gray short-tailed opossum). Its description in RNAcentral is "lncRNA (ENSMODG00000033451.2)". The record is from RNAcentral. Lineage: Eukaryota; Metazoa; Chordata; Mammalia; Didelphimorphia; Didelphidae.